UUUUGAGACCUAGUAUGUUUUUUGUGAUUUAUCAAGCAAUACAUCUUUUAGUUAUAGGAUAGCUGAACACAAGACCUAGUAUGUUUUUUGUGAUUUAUCAAGCAAUACAUCUUUUAGUUAUAGGAUAGCUGAACACAUAUCUUGUUAGCUAUAUAGAUAUAAAACUUACUUGUGAAUUAAGGCUUAGGAAAAAUUGUCUCAAUAAAUACAUGUACUACUGUUUCAUUAAUUCAAUGAUUAAAUGUCUUUGUGACGAGGCAGUGGUGGAUCCAGGGGGAGGGUUCUGGGGGUUGGAAUCCCCUUUUUUUUGGCCGAUCAAUGCAUUUGUAAGGGGACAGAGUUGGAACCCCCCUUUGUCCUGGGUUGGAACCCCACCCCCCUUUUUAAAAUGGCUGGAUCCGCCCCUGAUGAGGGGGAGGUUUUUUUACGACCUUGACUAUUCAUUAGGAUCUUGUACAGUCGAUGACUCCAUGCUAACAAUUAUAACUUAAAAGGAUAAAAAAAAAAAAAUUAUAAAUAUUUUUUUUUACUCUAGUAGCUUAGGCCAAUAUUGAAUAUCAGAAAUGUCUUUGUGAAUAUCAGUACAUAAUUUUAAUGGUAAAUUUUACAAUAACUAAUUUGUUGAUUUACAUGCCACACACACACAGUCACACAUUCAUUACCUCUAAUCAUGCAUUUUAUUGUAUGGUAAACUUUGUGUUCACAGUAGAAGUAGUACACAUAUUUGUUCACACCAAAACACAAUACUCUUAGUUCCCAAUGAGUGGUUAAGUCAAACACUGAUAGCUUUAGGACUGAAGAGCUUGCAUUUUACAUUCCAAUUCCUGAGGAGAGGAUACACUUUAUAAAAUCUCAAAAUCAAGUAUUAAAUAUAAGUGUGGCUUUGGUUAUCAGUUCACACUUAAUUUGGCACUGAAAAACAUAAAGUCAGCAAAAACACAGCCAUUCAAUUGGUUGCAAUUAGAAAAAAGUGACUCCUAUAACCAAUGUUAUGCAGCAAUACAUAAAUCAGUCAGCUGUGAAUCAAUUUAUUUUUCUAAAAAAAACAUUUUUUAAUACACACAUGGCUCUAAGCAUUCCUAAAGAAGAUAAAUCAAGGAAACAUACAUUAUAUAAGAAUGUUUAAUUAUAAUGGACUUUUUUUUAAUUUUUAUUAUUUUAAAAUAGUAAGGUAAAUGCAACUCUUUUCACCAAAAAUUUAACAAGAAAAAUACUUGACAGUCUUGAAUUUUUCAGUAAAAGUAACGCUUGGAUUUUGAUUGUUAGAUUUUUUGUGAAAAGGGUUCUUGGGCUAGAAAUUUAAUAAAAUUAUGAUAUAUAUUAGAGGUUAUAGACGACCUGCUUUUAAAAAUAAAUUAUAAGAAUUGAUAUGAUAUAAUUAUAUUUUGUAUUCAGACUUGAAGCUCUUGAUGGACGCACUUGCAAUUUUUUUAAGAUAUUUUGGUUUGAAAAAAAAUAUAUUUCAAUAGUGAUUAUAAGUGUAUUGAAUGAAACAUUGAUAAUUUUUUUAUUUGCAAAAUUAUUUUUUUGAAGAUCCAAAUCAUAUAUUUUUAUGACAUGAAUGGGCAAAAUGAAAGAAAAAUAAAUAAUUUUGUCAAAAGAAGAAUAAUUGUUAGAUAUACCGGUAUACAAUAAAACUGAGAUAGAAAUUCUCAAUCCAUGUAUUUGUUUAUGCAUAAUAUAUGUAUUUUUGUUGGAGAAGUUUACACAGUUUUAUAACAAGCUGGUUAUGUUUUUGUGGUCGUCAUACAUAAUGUCAAUAAACUAUAUACAAUAUUG
Mytilus trossulus (common blue mussel) is the source of this 1779-nucleotide long non-coding RNA. RefSeq lists it as uncharacterized. NCBI's taxonomy places the organism in Eukaryota, Metazoa, Mollusca, Bivalvia, Mytilida, Mytilidae. The transcript is spliced from 2 exons. The record is from RefSeq and is a predicted model, not a curated record.